AGGUUAUGUAGAAGACUUGUAUAUAUGACUAAAUAAACAUAUUAUACUACAGAUUAACUUCAACAAGCAUCUCGUUUAUUUUAAAAAUUCCGAGUACUCUGUCACACAGAGACAACUUCCAUUGUCUUUUAGAUCGUUUUCUUUCUCUUAAUUAUAUAUUCAAACCACAAUAAGCUCAAAUCUGUAUUGAAUUGAUGGACGAGAAAAUGAAUGUCAGCUUAGGCAUUAUUAAACCUGUAUUCAUGUAUCUUAACCCAUUAAGCCUCCAAUUUCUUACGGCAACUUACGAUCCGAGAAGUAAAAAUCGCUCUAUUUCACCGAACAAUAAUCUUGUUCCCAAUCUCCAUGAUACACACCAUGCCUUAUUUUUUCAUUAUAACACCGUGCUGAUUUAAACGAAUCUCGGUACAAAUAACCGAUGCACACUGAAGUUUUGACUACUACACAGGCAAGACAAGCACCCUUGAGAAGUAUCGGGGUCAAUUAUUAGACUACGGUAGAAUUAUGUUUUACUAUAUCAAUAGGAUAAAAGAAGGUAUCAAAAACAACAUUUUAUCAUGGUCCAAAACUUUCUUCCCCAGUUAUCCCUACAUCUUAUAGUAAAGUCUCCUUUCAGCCGUACAUUUUCUCCCUGGAGAGUCGUUUUGUAACUCAUAUUACGACAUUAUAGUGCGACCGCUUAUCAGCACUACUUUGAUCUACACUAUAUAAGAGAGGACAAGCGACAUUAGGGAUUUGA
This 739-nucleotide unclassified non-coding RNA is filed under the name Schizosaccharomyces pombe (fission yeast). RNAcentral describes it as "intergenic RNA (predicted), possible alternative UTR". Lineage: Eukaryota; Fungi; Ascomycota; Schizosaccharomycetes; Schizosaccharomycetales; Schizosaccharomycetaceae. The record is from RNAcentral.